Long non-coding RNA from Puntigrus tetrazona (Sumatra barb), 844 nucleotides. RefSeq lists it as uncharacterized. The record is from RefSeq and is a predicted model, not a curated record. The transcript has 2 exons. NCBI's taxonomy places the organism in Eukaryota, Metazoa, Chordata, Actinopteri, Cypriniformes, Cyprinidae.
CACUCAUCACUCAACUCCAAGGCUUCAGGAGCCAAAUACGGCGCGGAGCAACGAGACACCGCGACCAGAAAUAACCGGGACAGCCUUCAUAAGAGCAGAGGUCCGAGCGCGCGCACACUCCCUCAGCAGAAGACACUAAGAUACAGUUUAGACUACAGUGUCCAGAGCCGCACCGAUCUUUGUGCGAUUUCGCGAAGAUGGUGGUCUUUAAAGGGUUUGAGCGCAAGAUUUCCCCAAAAAGGAAUGCAUAUCCUGACGCAGAAACGUUAUUCUCCGAGGAGUUGCCACCUAAAUGAUAGUGCCCAGAAUAAGGGCCGAAGGUCACCUUUAAGUCGCUUCUGGAAGCAGGUGAGGAAAAAAAAACCGCAUCGCUGCCUUUCACGGAGACGCGCGGCGCCAACUCGGGCUCGGGGACCGUGGAAUAUGUGACUGUGUGUGGAUGUGACUAUGUGAAUAUGUGUGGAAUAAUCGGAUCGACGGGAUGGACGCACGGCGUAACGUGUAUGUGUCUCGCCGGAGCACCGGCCUCGCGCGUAAAGCGCGCGUCUCCAAAAGCGCACCGGAUUAUUGCGCGCGCGCGAUCUAACGAUUACGGCAAAAAAAAAAAAAAAAAAAAAAAAAAAUCUGUGGGUUAAUUCGGAAAAUAUGCUUUGUGUGCAGCCCGUCUGAUAUCGUACGAGCGCUUUGGGUGAGAAAAAGCGCGUAAAAUGCAUUAUUAUUAUUAUUAUUAAAAAUAUAUGUACAGUUGCACGUGCAUAACAGAUUGGCAGUUAAACAGAAAAUACAUUUUAUUAUUAUUAAAAAAUAUAUACAGUUGCACAUGCAUAACAGAUUGGCAGUUAAA